RNAcentral lists this ribosomal RNA (710 nucleotides) under uncultured Pseudomonadota bacterium. RNAcentral describes it as "bacterial SSU rRNA". It matches the Rfam family "Bacterial small subunit ribosomal RNA", at positions 61 to 818 of the family's 1533-position model. The record is from RNAcentral. Lineage: Bacteria; Pseudomonadati; Pseudomonadota.
GUCGAACGAGUACUUUUUACGAGUGGCGGACGGGUGAGUAACGCGUGGGAACCUGCCUUUAGGUAGAGAAUAACUACAGGAAACUGUAGCUAAUACUUUAUAAGCCCUACGGGGGAAAGAUUUAUCGCCUUUAGAGGGGCCCGCGUCAGAUUAGCUUGUUGGUAAGGUAAUAGCUUACCAAGGCAAUGAUCUGUAGCUGGUUUGAGAGGACGAUCAGCCACAUUGGGACUGAGACACGGCCCAGACUCCUACGGGAGGCAGCAGUGGGGAAUCUUGGACAAUGGGGGAAACCCUGAUCCAGCAAUUCCGCGUGAACGAUGAAGGCCUUAGGGUUGUAAAGUUCUUUUAGUAAGGAAGAUGAUGACGGUACUUACAGAAAAAGCUCCGGCUAACUCCGUGCCAGCAGCCGCGGUAAUACGGGGGGGGCGAGCGUUGUUCGGAAUUACUGGGCGUAAAGAGCGAGCAGGUGGUUUAUUUAGUCAAAUGUGAAAGCUCAGAGCUCAACUUUGAAAUUGCAUUUGAAACUGGUAAACUCGAGUUUGGGAGAGGAUAGUGGAAUUCUAAGUGUAGAAGUGAAAUUUGUAGAUAUUUAGAGGAACACCAACAGCGAAGGCAGCUAUCUGGCCCUUUACUGACACUCAGAAGCGAAAGCUUGGGUAGCAAACAGGAUUAGAUACCCUGGUAGUCCAUGCUGUAAACGAUGAGUGCUA